UCUUGCUUUGCCAGCAGCAGUCAGUCAGUCAGUCAGUCAGUCACAUACACGGACUCAAGUCAUCUCUGGACCGCAGAGAUUCUCCUUCAGUCGCUUCGUGUAUUUACAUUCGCCGCUAUGAAAAACGACUAGACAGAAUGGGCACGGAGCGCUCUUCUCGAAUCACAGCCGUUUGGAGAUAAGAGGGCGGAAACGCGAGUAAAACAGACGGAGGAGAAAGAAAAACAGACGAGGAGCGCGAGCAGGCCGAACCCGUCGAGGGAGCGCGAGAGCAGCCUAGUUUCUCACGCGACGGGCGCGCGGCGCUCAAUUGGAUUUGCGGCUCAAACCGACGAGGACGAAAACACGCCCGUGGCGAACCGUACAUGUGGAUUAUUCGCGGAAAUUUCUUAACUCCGUUCUCCUCAGAAACUAAAUAAACGUCCGGUGGCGACAGACCUUCACCUUCCGCGGAGAGGUUGGUGACUGCCAGGACUCAACGCCCCAUGAUGCACAGCGUUUGUGACAAGACCACACCCACUUUCAGUGUGUAGAGGAAGUUGCAUCGUCAGCAUGUCCUCGCACCCUCAGUCAGUGCCUCAGGGUCGGAGGGCUAUGGACGCUCGUCACCUUCCUAGUCCUGCCACCCUACCUCUGCAGCUGAGAGCCCAUACGGAUGUUGGUGGAUUGGUUGACUACCAUCCUCAUGCUC
Puntigrus tetrazona (Sumatra barb) is the source of this 691-nucleotide long non-coding RNA. RefSeq lists it as uncharacterized. Lineage: Eukaryota; Metazoa; Chordata; Actinopteri; Cypriniformes; Cyprinidae. The transcript is spliced from 3 exons. The record is from RefSeq and is a predicted model, not a curated record.